Molecule: ribosomal RNA, 686 nt
Filed under: Prunus dulcis (almond)
Lineage: Eukaryota; Viridiplantae; Streptophyta; Magnoliopsida; Rosales; Rosaceae
Description: rRNA LSU_rRNA_bacteria
Rfam family: Eukaryotic large subunit ribosomal RNA
Source: RNAcentral
CCGACCUUGAUCUUUUGAGAAGGGUUCGAGUCAGAGCAUGUCUGUCGGGACCCGAAAGAUGGUGAACUAUGCCUGAGCGGGGCGAAGCCAGAGGAAACUUUGGUGGAGGCCCGCAACGAUAUUAACGUGCAAAUCGUUCGUCUGACUUGGGUAUAGGGGCGAAAGACUAAUCGAGCUGUCUAGUAGCUGGUUCCUUCCGAAGUUUCCCUCAGGAUAGCUGGAGCCCGUGAACGAGUUUUAUCAGGUAAAGCCAAUGAUUAUAGGCAUCGGGGGCGCAACGCACAUGACCUAUUCUCAAACUUUAAAUAGGUAGGACGGCUCAGUUGCUUUGUUGAGCCACGCCAUAGAAUCGAGAGUUCCAAGUGGGCCAUUUUUGGUAAGCAGAACUGGCGAUGUUAGAUGAACCGGAAGCCAGGUUAUGGUGCCUAACUGCACACUAACCUAGAACCCACAAAGGAUGUUGUUCGAUUAAGACAGUAGGCAGGUGGUCAUGGAAGUCAAAAUCAGUUAAAGAGUGUGUAACAACUCACCUACCGAAUCAACUAGUCUCAAAAAUAGAUGGCGCUUAAGAGCACGACCUAUACCCGGCCGUCGAGUCAAGUGCCAAGCCCCGAUGAGUAGGAGGGUGCGGCAGUUGCUACAAAACCUCAGGCGCGAGCAUGGGCGGAGCGGCCGUCGAUGCAGAU